AGUGGAUUGCGCCACUUUAAAAAGGUUUUAAGCGUAAAGCGUUGCAAGGUUUUGAGCCUUGCAGGUAACA
This 70-nucleotide ribozyme is filed under the name Sphingobacterium sp. ML3W. RNAcentral describes it as "Pistol ribozyme". It matches the Rfam family "Pistol ribozyme". Lineage: Bacteria; Pseudomonadati; Bacteroidota; Sphingobacteriia; Sphingobacteriales; Sphingobacteriaceae. The record is from Rfam by way of RNAcentral.